AAAACCGGCAAGUUCAACAUAAGGUUGAAUUAUCGAGUCCAUAUGGACAUAUUCGUGGACCCGAGUCCGGAACCUUGAUACAUCCUAUAAAAGAAAGAACAAAAAACUUAACUAAGUUGGUAUGUUAAAAUAAAAGGGGGUUGGUGAAGAUGAAAGAAAAAAAGUUAACAAAAGAAAAAACUUACAUAUGUUGCGAUGUUU
RNAcentral lists this long non-coding RNA (201 nucleotides) under Lathyrus oleraceus (garden pea). Its description in RNAcentral is "Pisum sativum (pea) long non-coding RNA (PSAT_LNC029037)". Lineage: Eukaryota; Viridiplantae; Streptophyta; Magnoliopsida; Fabales; Fabaceae. The record is from RNAcentral.